Molecule: long non-coding RNA, 744 nt
Organism: Peromyscus eremicus (cactus mouse)
Lineage: Eukaryota; Metazoa; Chordata; Mammalia; Rodentia; Cricetidae
Exons: 2
Source: RefSeq, a predicted model, not a curated record
AGAGCUGCAGAUGUCAUGGGAACUGGCAUUGCUUCCUUGCUAAUGAGCUUUCCUCAUAAUACACUAGAAGUCAAACUGACCUUUGCAGGAGCCCCUGCUGGGAUACAAGGGAAACGCUGCAGCAGCCCCUUCAUCCAAAGCCAGAGAUCUCUCCCUGAUUGAUUGGACAUUCUUUAGCUCUUUCCAUGCGUGGAAGUAAAUGUUUAUCUCCUACUCAAAAUUUAUGUGCACAAGGAUAUCUGAUAUGCAACCCCCAAUGGGGUGGUGACCCACAGGUUGAAGACUACAGCUCUGAAUGCAGACAGACAUCUCCUCAAAUCCUGGCAGUGAUGCUGGGACAGUGGGAUUCUUACUUUUUUUUAUCAGACUGAAUCAAACUAGUCAACUGGGAAGAGGGACCCUCAAUGAGGAAUUAUCUAGAUCAGAUUUACUUUGAACAUGUCUCUGUGGGAUUUUAUUUAUUGUUAAUUGAGAUAAGACUCCUUAAAAUGGGCAGAAUCAUUUCAUUAUCUGCAACCUGUACUGUGUAAAUAUGAAGAAGCUAGAGCAUAAGCAUAAGCAAACAGGCAGCAUUGGUCAUUUGAUUAUCUCUGCUCUUGGCUGUGGAUGUGAUAUGAUUAGCUGAGUUCCUACCUUGAUUUCCAAAAAUGGAACUAUUACCUGGAAUUAUGGGCUAUGAUCAAUUUUUCCCAUUCUAAGUUGCUGUGAAUGAUAACUCAGUGUAAUAAAGAUGUUAAGAAACUA